UAGUCCACGCCGUAAACUAUGGACACUUUGUGUUGGAGGUAUUGACCCCUUCAGUGCCGGAGCUAACGCGUUAAGUGUCCCGCCUGGGGAGUACGGUCGCAAGAUUAAAACUCAAAGAAAUUGACGGGGGCCCGCACAAGCGGUGGAGCAUGUGGUUUAAUUCGAUGCAACGCGAAAUACCUUACCUGGGUUUGAAUUGCAGUGGAAUUUGUUAGAGAUAGCAAAGCUCUUCGGAGUCGCUGUGAAGGUGCUGCAUGGCUGUCGUCAGCUCGUGUCGUGAGAUGUUGGGUUAAGUCCCGCAACGAGCGCAACCCUUGCCUUUAGUUGCCAGCAUUUAGUUGGGCACUCUAAAGGGACUGCCGACGUUAAGUCGGAGGAAGGUGGGGAUGACGUCAAGUCCUCAUGGCCCUUAUGUCCAGGGGCUACACACGUGCUACAAUGGGGAAGUACAAGGGUUGCCAAGCCGCAAGGUGGAGCUAAUCCCAAAAAACUUCUACUAAGUUCGGAUUGAGGUCUGCAACUCGACC
This 527-nucleotide ribosomal RNA is filed under the name uncultured bacterium. RNAcentral describes it as "bacterial SSU rRNA". It matches the Rfam family "Bacterial small subunit ribosomal RNA", at positions 791 to 1317 of the family's 1533-position model. The record is from RNAcentral.